RNAcentral lists this ribosomal RNA (296 nucleotides) under Vibrio sp. UCD-FRSSP16_10. Its description in RNAcentral is "partial 16S ribosomal RNA". It matches the Rfam family "Bacterial small subunit ribosomal RNA", at positions 1249 to 1533 of the family's 1533-position model. Lineage: Bacteria; Pseudomonadati; Pseudomonadota; Gammaproteobacteria; Vibrionales; Vibrionaceae. The record is from RNAcentral.
GCCAACCAGCGAUGGUGAGCGAAUCCCAAAAAGUGCGUCGUAGUCCGGAUUGGAGUCUGCAACUCGACUCCAUGAAGUCGGAAUCGCUAGUAAUCGUGAAUCAGAAUGUCACGGUGAAUACGUUCCCGGGCCUUGUACACACCGCCCGUCACACCAUGGGAGUGGGCUGCAAAAGAAGUGGGUAGUUUAACCUUUCGGGGAGGACGCUCACCACUUUGUGGUUCAUGACUGGGGUGAAGUCGUAACAAGGUAGCCCUAGGGGAACCUGGGGCUGGAUCACCUCCUUAUACGAUGAU